CRWWGGCYWKUCAGAGAUGSKMWUGGUGCCUUCGGGAACUCUGASACAGGUGCUGCAUGGCUGUCGUCAGCUCSUGUUGUGAAAUGUUGGGUUAAGUCCCGCAACGAGCGCAACCCUURUCCUUUGUUGCCAGCGGUUAGGSCGGGAACUCAAAGGARACUGCCAGUGAUAAACUGGAGGAAGGKGGGGAUGACGUCAAGUCAUCAUGGCCCUUACGAGUAGGGCUACMCACGUGCUACAAUGGCGCAUACAAAGAGAAGCGACCUCGCGAGAGCAAGCGGACCUCAUAAAGUGCGUCGUARUCCGGAUUGGAGUCUGCAACUCGACUCCMUGAAGUCGGAAUCGCUAGUAAUCGUAGAUCARAAUGCUACGGUGAAUACGUUCCCGGGUCUUGUACACACCGAA
Molecule: ribosomal RNA, 405 nt
Filed under: Enterobacter sp. 156(2012)
Lineage: Bacteria; Pseudomonadati; Pseudomonadota; Gammaproteobacteria; Enterobacterales; Enterobacteriaceae
Description: partial 16S ribosomal RNA
Rfam family: Bacterial small subunit ribosomal RNA
Source: RNAcentral